GGAAGCUGCUUCACCAAUUUGGUUGGGGUAAUGAAACAUACUGAUAUUAGUGGACGUCUCUGCAAAUGAGUUGUCAGAUUCUAGUAUAUUUGUGCUGGUGUCAUCUCCAGAAACCAGCAUUGAGUCGGAUAAAUAUUUUGAGGUCUCACCUAGCUGUUUGUCUCUAGUCUGAUUCUUAACUUCAUCAGCUCUGUAGUUACUGGAAACAUUCUCUUUGCCUCUAGCAACUCCAAUAAAAUUGUCAGAAGAGUCAUUUAUCCAAUCUUUGAACUCCCGCAGCCAUUCAUCAGACCUUUCCUUCUUCAUAUUUUCAAUGCGGUUCAUCAACUCAAC
RNAcentral lists this unclassified non-coding RNA (333 nucleotides) under Hevea brasiliensis (rubber tree). The record is from RNAcentral. Lineage: Eukaryota; Viridiplantae; Streptophyta; Magnoliopsida; Malpighiales; Euphorbiaceae.